RNAcentral lists this ribosomal RNA (351 nucleotides) under Triticum aestivum (bread wheat). RNAcentral's name for it is "partial small subunit ribosomal RNA". Lineage: Eukaryota; Viridiplantae; Streptophyta; Magnoliopsida; Poales; Poaceae. The record is from RNAcentral.
AUGCAAGACUACUUCGCGGAGGUACCUACAUACCCUCCUCGUCUCUUCCGCAGAAGGUACCGAAUGCGUCGUAGUUUGUUUGUGAAGAUUGUCACCGAUUGUGAGGCGGCCUCCUAUUACUUUAAACGUCGUAGAUCCGCCGCCGGUAUCAUGGAGUUUAGUGCAUAUCAAAAGAUAUCGGCGGCAAUGCGGGUACUCGCCUAUGGCAUACCCACGGACUAUACUGACAAGUAUCUUCGCAUUGGAAAAGAUACAACCACAGGGUCCGUCCGUAGGUUUGCAAAGUUGUUAUCAAGUUGUAUGGUGAGAAGUAUCUUCGGGCACCAAACGAGGAAGAUACAAAGAGACUGA